This 701-nucleotide ribosomal RNA is filed under the name uncultured archaeon. Its description in RNAcentral is "bacterial SSU rRNA". It matches the Rfam family "Archaeal small subunit ribosomal RNA", at positions 194 to 896 of the family's 1478-position model. The record is from RNAcentral.
AUUUAUCGCCGUAGGAUGGGACUGCGGCCUAUCAGUUUGUUGGUGAGGUAAUGGCCCACCAAGACUAUUACAGGUACGGGCUCUGAGAGGAGUAGCCCGGAGAUGGGUACUGAGACACGGACCCAGGCCCUAUGGGGCGCAGCAGGCGAGAAAACUUUGCAAUGUGCGAAAGCACGACAAGGUUAAUCCGAGUGGUUUCUGCUAAAGAAACCUUUUGUUAGUCCUAGAAACACUAUUGAAUAAGGGGUGGGCAAGUUCUGGUGUCAGCCGCCGCGGUAAAACCAGCACCUCAAGUGGUCAGGAUGAUUAUUGGGCCUAAAGCAUCCGUAGCUCGUUUUGUAAGUUUUCGGUUAAAUCCAUGCGCUUAACGUAUGGGCUGCCGGGAAUACUGCAUAACUAGGAAGUGGGAGAGGUAGACGGUACUCGGUAGGAAGGGGUAAAAUCCUUUGAUCUAUUGAUGACCACCUGUGGCGAAGGCGGUCUACCAGAACACGUUCGACGGUGAGGGAUGAAAGCUGGGGGAGCAAACCGGAUUAGAUACCCGGGUAGUCCCAGCUGUAAACUAUGCAAACUCAGUGAUGCAUUGGCUUGUGGCCAAUGCAGUGCUGCAGGGAAGCCGUUAAGUUUGCCGCCUGGGAAGUACGUACGCAAGUAUGAAACUUAAAGGAAUUGGCGGGGGAGCACCACAAGGGGUGAAGCCU